UACGGAGGAUGCAAGCGUUAUCCGGAAUUAUUGGGCGUAAAGCGUCCGUAGGUGGCUAAGCAAGUCUGCUGUUAAAGAGCGGAGCUAAACUCCGUAAAGGCGGUGGAAACUGCAUAGCUAGAGUGUGGUAGGGGUAGAGGGAAUUCCCAGUGUAGCGGUGAAAUGCGUAGAUAUUGGGAAGAACACCGGUGGCGAAGGCGCUCUACUGGGCCACAACUGACACUGAUGGACGAAAGCUAGGGGAGCGAAAGGG
RNAcentral lists this ribosomal RNA (253 nucleotides) under uncultured bacterium. RNAcentral's name for it is "partial 16S ribosomal RNA". It matches the Rfam family "Bacterial small subunit ribosomal RNA", at positions 524 to 776 of the family's 1533-position model. The record is from RNAcentral.